AGGAGAACAGAUCAUCAUGGCGGACGGGAGGCAGGACUACAUUGCAGCUCCCGACAGGGCAGCGUGCGGGGCUCGCAUUGUGACUUUUAGCUCCAGAUGGACUGCAGGAAGAAACCAGCAGUCCCGAGAGGACCCGCAGACCCUCUGAAGGAAGUGGGCUGCUCCUGCAGGACCCGGGAGACCCCCGCAAAAGUCUGAAUGCAACAGCCCCUGGUUUCCUGCUCUGUGAGGAAUGGCUAGACCACAUCUCCUGCUGGUGACAAGUGUCAGAAGUAUUGAUUCUGCAACAAACUGAGAAGAAACCUGGCGAUUCACAACAGAGAGCUGAGAAAUCCUAAGUCUGGAUUCCAGCUAAAUGGGAGCAGACUAAAUAGAGCGGCAGUCGGCGAACUACAUGUAGCCCAUGAACAAAAUCCGGUCCAGCACGUGUGUUUUUUUUUACGGCCCACAAAUGAGUCUGUCUUUACAGAUGAAUGUUAAAACUGGGUUGACAAGAGAGAACACUCACUUUGAACCGCAACUAAACAAAAUAUUAUCACCUUUCCCCUCAAAAAAGGUUUUUGUUCUUCUCAUUAGUAAAUUUGUAUUAUGACAAAA
RNAcentral lists this long non-coding RNA (597 nucleotides) under Homo sapiens (human). RNAcentral's name for it is "HSALNT0324401". The record is from RNAcentral. Lineage: Eukaryota; Metazoa; Chordata; Mammalia; Primates; Hominidae.